CCUACGGGGGGCAGCAGUGGGGAAUAUUGCACAAUGGGGGAAACCCUGAUGCAGCGACGCCGCGUGAAGGAAGAAGUAUUUCGGUAUGUAAACUUCUAUCAGUAGGGAAGAAAGUGACGGUACCUGACUAAGAAGCCCCGGCUAACUACGUGCCAGCAGCCGCGGUAAUACGUAGGGGGCAAGCGUUAUCCGGAUUUACUGGGUGUAAAGGGAGCGUAGGCGGCGAUGCAAGUCAGAAGUGAAAGCCCGGGGCCCAACCCCGGGACUGCUCUUGGAACUGCGUGGCUAGAGUGCAGGAGGGGCAG
RNAcentral lists this ribosomal RNA (305 nucleotides) under uncultured bacterium. RNAcentral describes it as "bacterial SSU rRNA". It matches the Rfam family "Bacterial small subunit ribosomal RNA", at positions 338 to 660 of the family's 1533-position model. The record is from RNAcentral.